GGGGGCGUAAAGGUUUCGACAGGGAUUUUGAAGUACGAUAAGCGAGUAGCGGUCGUGGGCACGCUUUAAAAACCACAACUUAUAAAUUAAACAACAAUAAAACUGUUGCUUACGCAGCCUAAUUAGGCUGCCGUCUGACCAAAGAGUACCGCGGCUUUGCAAAGGCGUCGAUCAGCGGUGAACGUGAGUUAGGGCUCGGCUCAUCCCUUUCCAUGAUUUUUGAGCCUUACGGACUUAUACGUUUGAUAAUUGUCGUAUAACAACGGAAUUUGAACAAUUAUCUACACUCGAAGAAAGUUGUAUGGACAAAUUUUUGGACAGGGGUUCGACUCCCCUCGCCUCCACCA
RNAcentral lists this transfer-messenger RNA (347 nucleotides) under bacterium. It matches the Rfam family "transfer-messenger RNA". From Rfam's summary of the family: Bacterial tmRNA, also known as 10Sa RNA or SsrA, is named for its dual tRNA and mRNA-like properties. The record is from RNAcentral.